ACGGGAGGCAGCAGUGAGGAAUAUUGGUCAAUGGGCGGGAGCCUGAACCAGCCAAGUCGCGUGAGGGAUGACGGUCCUACGGAUUGUAAACCUCUUUUGCCGGGGGGUAACAAGCGGGACGCGUCCCGCCAUGAGAGUACCCGGCGAAAAAGCAUCGGCUAACUCCGUGCCAGCAGCCGCGGUAAUACGGAGGAUGCGAGCGUUAUCCGGAUUUAUUGGGUUUAAAGGGUGCGCAGGCGGCGCGUCAAAUCAGCGGUCAAAGCCCGGUGCGCAACGCGGGUCCGCCGUUGAAACUGCCGUGCUCGAGUUCGUGCGAGGAGAGCGGAAUGCGUGGUGUAGCGGUGAAAUGCAUAGAUAUCACGCAGAACGCCGAUUGCGAAGGCAGCCCUCCAGCACUGGACUGACGCUCAUGCACGAAAGCGUGGGUAUCGAACAGGAUUAGAUACCCUGGUA
Molecule: ribosomal RNA, 453 nt
Filed under: uncultured Barnesiella sp.
Lineage: Bacteria; Pseudomonadati; Bacteroidota; Bacteroidia; Bacteroidales; Barnesiellaceae
Description: partial 16S ribosomal RNA
Rfam family: Bacterial small subunit ribosomal RNA
Source: RNAcentral